Molecule: ribosomal RNA, 255 nt
Filed under: uncultured bacterium
Lineage: Bacteria
Description: partial 16S ribosomal RNA
Rfam family: Bacterial small subunit ribosomal RNA
Source: RNAcentral
UACGUAGGGUGCAAGCGUUAUCCGGAAUUAUUGGGCGUAAAGAGCUCGUAGGCGGUUUGUCGCGUCUGCUGUGAAAACCCGAGGCUCAACCUCGGGCCUGCAGUGGGUACGGGCAGACUAGAGUGCGGUAGGGGAGAUUGGAAUUCCUGGUGUAGCGGUGGAAUGCGCAGAUAUCUGGAGGAACACCGGUGGCGAAGGCGGCAUCCUGGACCAACACUGACGCUGAGGAGCGAAAGCCAGGGGAGGCAAAACGGG